GCCACACCGGUGGUCUUGGCCACCUUGAUUUUCACAGGGACUACGAGGAGAUCGAAGUUGGUUAUCCCCAAUCUGUUUGCCAGCAAGACAGCUGAAUGGGUGCUGGUUGUGUAUAUAAUGGGAGAGGGAUCCUGUGCUGUUCUGCAUGAGAGGGAUGCUCUUGUCCUGAGAGUUGGGCAAAGCCUACAAACAGUGUGUAUUUGACCUGCAUCUUCUGGAGACCAGUGAUGAGAAGGAGUAGAGUUCCUAGUUCCAAGCACAGCCUCCUUCAAGACUUCACAGAUUGGGUAUGGGAAGAAUGCACAGCCAUGGUUACCUAAUGGUGCUGGAAGAGCACCAUCCUCUUUCACCUUUUGCUGCAUUGUUAAUGCUUGCUUAAGGCUUGUGUCUGUGAAUCCUCCCUGAUGAAGCCAGACUGGCCCUAGAAACGUUGCUGUCCAUUCAGACAGAGACCAGCUCACAGAUUUGUCCCCAUAAUAGAGAAAAAAGGAUUUCUAGCUGACCUCCAUAGGUUUCCUUUGGGAGAAGUAAAAUAAACCUUCAUCACUGAUAAGCUGACUUACUCCAUUUAGAUCCCCCCCAUUACUUUUGGUACAAUUAUGUGCAAGCAGUGAUUGCAUGAAGCUGCCUGGAUUCCAUGUAAAUGAUAUGUCUUUGGCAUACAGGAGUUUUUGUAAAUCAUUUAAAGCAAGGCAUUCUUCCAUGCUUGGCAGAAGAAGGAUACAGAGAGCUUUUGUACCUCAGUUGCAUCAAAUUGAAUAUUUCUUUAAUCGCCCUGGAGAAGAAUGCACUUGAUUGCAUUCUGCGAGUUCUGCUGUUAUUGUUCUUGGACAGACCUGGUGGGUAACAGAUGACCUGACUCCACACCACCACCACCUCGGCCACCCCCUCAAAUUUACCAGCUCUUCUCCCUUGGGCAAGACCUGCUCCACGGGAGUAGUAAUUGUGCAUAGUCAAAAGAAUGUGAGGGAAUAGCCAUUAAUAAAAAAGUUGGCAACCCCCUGCAAGAAGAGCUAUUUUCACAUGAAAAUCUUCUCCAAAGAAGUAAUGAAGCUUUGCUUCAUUUGACAUCUUAUCAGGUAAUUGCACAGAAGGUGAU
This is a long non-coding RNA of Grus americana (Whooping crane), 1099 nucleotides long. RefSeq lists it as uncharacterized. The record is from RefSeq and is a predicted model, not a curated record. The transcript is spliced from 5 exons. NCBI's taxonomy places the organism in Eukaryota, Metazoa, Chordata, Aves, Gruiformes, Gruidae.